GACAGAGGGUGCAAACGUUGUUCGGAAUUACUGGGCGUAAAGCGCGUGUAGGCGGCUCUGCAAGUCGGAUGUGAAAGCCCUCGGCUCAACCGAGGAAGUGCACCCGAAACUGCAGAGCUAGAGUCUCGGAGAGGAUCGUGGAAUUCUCGGUGUAGAGGUGAAAUUCGUAGAUAUCGAGAGGAACACCGGUGGCGAAGGCGGGUCUCUGGACAGUUCCUGACACUGAGGCACGAAGGCCAGGGGAGCAAACGGG
Molecule: ribosomal RNA, 253 nt
Filed under: uncultured bacterium
Lineage: Bacteria
Description: partial 16S ribosomal RNA
Rfam family: Bacterial small subunit ribosomal RNA
Source: RNAcentral